Non-coding RNA from Acanthosepion pharaonis, 113 nucleotides. NCBI's taxonomy places the organism in Eukaryota, Metazoa, Mollusca, Cephalopoda, Sepiida, Sepiidae. The record is from the annotation of a GenBank genome assembly.
UAUGGCCAUAUCACAUUGAAACACUGGUUCUCACUCUAUCAUUUAAGUUAAGCAACGUUGAACCUGGUCAGUACCUAGAUGAGUGACUGCUCGGGAAUAUCAGGUGCUGUAAG